GAUGAAGAACAAGGGACUUCAUACUGAUUCAGUUGAUGUCACCUUCAUGGUAUUCUGA
This 58-nucleotide small nucleolar RNA is filed under the name Hucho hucho (huchen). RNAcentral's name for it is "Small nucleolar RNA SNORD82 (ENSHHUG00000044623.1)". Lineage: Eukaryota; Metazoa; Chordata; Actinopteri; Salmoniformes; Salmonidae. The record is from RNAcentral.